AGUAAAGUCGUAACAAGGUUUUGCUAAGCAACAGUCCUUCUGUAGCAGAGCUUAACGGAGACCUUGCACCCGAGAGGGGGGAGGCGACUAUAAAAGAACUCCCAGCGCAAGUCAGCCUAGCUGGCAACACAAUCGAAUUGCGGGGACGCUUUAAAGCCCACCGGUACCAACUGCUCUUCUGGGGCGGGGCCAGCUAUGCUGGAGGUCACAACCCGGUAGGAUACUACAAUAAGCAAUCCGCAGCGGCUCAGCCGUCCACAGACUAAGUGGUUGUGGGUAGGGAUCCCCUACUUAAGAUAUAGUCGGGCCUUGUGACAAGUCAUAGGGGCUUCUGCGUCCGUAGGUGAACCUGCGGAAGGAUCAUUA
This 366-nucleotide non-coding RNA is filed under the name Dermateaceae sp. Its description in RNAcentral is "partial 18S ribosomal RNA". The stretch from base 11 to 325 matches the Rfam family "Group I catalytic intron". Rfam says of the family: Group I catalytic introns are large self-splicing ribozymes. The record is from RNAcentral. Lineage: Eukaryota; Fungi; Ascomycota; Leotiomycetes; Helotiales; Dermateaceae.